GAUGAACGCUAGCGGCAGGCUUAACACAUGCAAGUCGAGGGGCAGCACAGAUAGCAAUAUUGGGUGGCGACCGGCAAACGGGUGCGGAACACGUACGCAAUCUACCUUUAUCUGGGGCAUAGCCCGAAGAAAUUCGGAUUAACUCCCCAUAGUAUAUUUGAGUGGCAUCACUUAGAUAUUAAAACUCCGGUGGAUAAAGAUGAGCGUGCGUCCCAUUAGCUAGUUGGUAGGGUAACGGCCUACCAAGGCGACGAUGGGUAGCUGGUGUGAGAGCACGACCAGCCACACGGGCACUGAGACACGGGCCCGACUCCUACGGGAGGCAGCAGUGGGGAAUUUUGCGCAAUGGACGAAAGUCUGACGCAGCAACGCCGCGUGGGUGAUGAAGGUCUUCGGAUUGUAAAACCCUGUCGCCAGGGACGAAGGGUGGGGCGUGAAUAGCGUUCUACUUUGACGGUACCUGGAAAGGAAGCCCCGGCUAACUCUGUGCCAGCAGC
This 497-nucleotide ribosomal RNA is filed under the name uncultured bacterium. RNAcentral describes it as "bacterial SSU rRNA". It matches the Rfam family "Bacterial small subunit ribosomal RNA", at positions 28 to 515 of the family's 1533-position model. The record is from RNAcentral.